AACAAGACCUGACAGGGGCAGUACCAUGAUCAAGGAUUUGCCCAAAGCAAGGCUCACCCAUUGCAUUCAGGCUGUGCUGACCUUUGUGAAUUUUCCAAAUGUGGGAAUCUCGACUGGAUAAUUUCUGAUAGUAGGGGUCUGAGUUCACCCUCUCCCCUU
This is a small nuclear RNA of Hemibagrus wyckioides, 159 nucleotides long. RefSeq annotates it as U1 spliceosomal RNA. The record is from RefSeq and is a predicted model, not a curated record. The transcript has a single exon. NCBI's taxonomy places the organism in Eukaryota, Metazoa, Chordata, Actinopteri, Siluriformes, Bagridae.